RNAcentral lists this ribosomal RNA (517 nucleotides) under uncultured bacterium. Its description in RNAcentral is "bacterial SSU rRNA". It matches the Rfam family "Bacterial small subunit ribosomal RNA", at positions 44 to 518 of the family's 1533-position model. The record is from RNAcentral.
AUGCCUAAGACAUGCAAGUCGAACGAGGUGGCCCGUUGAAGUCCUAGUGCUUGCACAAAGAUGGAUACGGAUUCCCACCUAGUGGCAGACGGGUGAGUAACACGUGGGUGACCUACCUUUUGUUGGGGAUAACAGUUGGAAACGAUUGCUAAUACCGAAUAAUAUAUAACUGUCAUGGUUAUAUUGAAAGGAGCCUUUAGAGCUUCGCGAAGAGAUGGGCCUGCGGCGUAUUAACUUGUUGGUGAGGUAACGGCUCACCAAGGUAGCGAUGCGUAGCCGAACUGAGAGGUUGAUCGGCCACACUGGGACUGAGACACGGCCCAGACUCCUACGGGAGACAGCAGUUAGGAAUAUUCGUCAAUGGGGGAAACCCUGAACGAGCAAUGCCGCGUGAGUGAAUGAAGGUCUUUGGAUUGUAAAAACUCUGUUGUAUGGAAAAAAUGGCUAGGUUAGGAAAUGAACUUAGUGUGAUGGUACCAUACCAGAAAGCCCCGGCUAACUACGUGCCAGCAGCUGC